GAGUUUGAUCAUGGCUCAGAAUCAACGCUGGCGGCGCGCCUAACACAUGCAAGUCGAACGAGAAAGUGGAGCAAUCCAUGAGUACAGUGGCGUACGGGUGAGUAACACGUGGGUAAUCUACCUUUUAGUGAGGAAUAACCGAGGGAAACUUUGGCUAAUACCGCAUAAGCCCCAAUCGUAAAGAGAAGGGGGAAAGCAGAAAUGCGCUGAAAGAGGAGCCCGCGGCCGAUUAGCUAGUUGGUGGGGUAAGAGCCCACCAAGGCAGAGAUCGGUAGCCGGCCUGAGAGGGCACACGGCCACACUGGCACUGAAACACGGGCCAGACUCCUACGGGAGGCAGCAGUGGGGAAUCUUGCACAAUGGGGGCAACCCUGAUGCAGCGACGCCGCGUGAGCGAUGAAGCCCUUCGGGGUGUAAAGCUCUUUCGGCAGGGAAGAUAGUGACGGUACCUGCAGAAGCAGCUGCGGCUAACUACGUGCCAGCGGCCGCGGUAAUACGUAGGCAGCAAGCGUUGUUCGGAGUUACUGGGCGUAAAGGGUGUGUAGGCGGUUCUUUAAGUUUGGUGUGAAAUCUCCCGGCUUAACCGGGAGGGUGCGCCGAAUACUGAGGGACUAGAGUACGGGAGAGGAAAGUGGAAUUCCUGGUGUAGCGGUGAAAUGCGUAGAUAUCAGGAGGAACACCGGUGGUGUAGACGGCUUUCUGGACCGUAACUGACGCUGAGACACGAAAGCGUGG
This 735-nucleotide ribosomal RNA is filed under the name uncultured bacterium. Its description in RNAcentral is "bacterial SSU rRNA". It matches the Rfam family "Bacterial small subunit ribosomal RNA", at positions 9 to 764 of the family's 1533-position model. The record is from RNAcentral.